GCUAGUUUGGCUCAGUGGAUAGAGCAUCAGCCUGCAAACUGAAGGGUCACGGGUUCAAUUCCAGUUAAGGGCA
Molecule: non-coding RNA, 73 nt
Organism: Myotis brandtii (Brandt's bat)
Lineage: Eukaryota; Metazoa; Chordata; Mammalia; Chiroptera; Vespertilionidae
Source: Rfam